This is a non-coding RNA of Podarcis muralis (Common wall lizard), 585 nucleotides long. The record is from RefSeq and is a predicted model, not a curated record. NCBI's taxonomy places the organism in Eukaryota, Metazoa, Chordata, Lepidosauria, Squamata, Lacertidae.
GAAUCCUAUUGUUCUAGGACCAAUCAGACUGCUGCAUUUUGGAUCCUAUUCAACUCAGUACAUAACAAAUGUGUUGUUAGACAAGAGGAAAUGUUCUACAAGGCAGCAAGUGUGAAAUUGGAUCAGGCUUGCUUUUCUCUACAUAGCUGCUGAGUCCCCUGCUCUCCUACACAGACAAGCCUCAAAGGUCUAUGUCUUGGAAACUGGAUUCAAUCAUUUCAUCAGGUGUUUCUGAGAACUUAAGGAUAAGGCGGCAGUGAUGAGCAACAAAAUGUGCAAGAGAUGAAGGGAUGCCAUCCAAGUAAAUAAAAGAAAGGAAAAAGGUGGACAGUCAAAGGGAAAAUAGAGCAUAUAAGUAUCUUCGAAACCAACUUGGACCCCAGGUGCUGCCUAGAUGUUAGGAGGAACGCUGCAUGUUUCAUCACUGGCACUUAAAGAACAGCAUUGAGGUCCAAAAUGUAUGUCCUUAAGGAGAUCUUCUAGCAAUUAAUCCUCUUUCCUCUGACAAGUGUUUAUGUGAGAUUGCUCUGUUUCCUUUUAUAUUUUAUCUAUCUAUCUAUCUAUCUAUCUAUCUAUCUAUCAUCU